This 82-nucleotide transfer RNA is filed under the name Medicago truncatula (barrel medic). Its description in RNAcentral is "tRNA-OTHER". Lineage: Eukaryota; Viridiplantae; Streptophyta; Magnoliopsida; Fabales; Fabaceae. The record is from RNAcentral.
GGUCAAGUAGCCUAGUGGCUAGAGCUCACACAAUUUAAUUGUGGAGAGUGGAGUGUCCGGGGUUCGAACCCCGGCUCCUGCA